UACGGGGGGGGCAAGCGUUGUUCGGAAUUACUGUGCGUAAAGGGCUCGUAGGUGGCCAACUAAGUCAGACGUGAAAUCCCUCGGCUUAACCGGGGAACGGCGUCUGAUACUGGAUGGCUUGAGUUCGGGAGAGGGAUGCGGAAUUCCAGGUGUAGCGGUGAAAUGCGUAGAUAUCUGGAGGAACACCGGUGGCGAAGGCGGCAUCCUGGACCGAGACUGACACUGAGGAGCGAAAGCCAGGGGAGCAAACGGG
Molecule: ribosomal RNA, 253 nt
Filed under: uncultured bacterium
Lineage: Bacteria
Description: partial 16S ribosomal RNA
Rfam family: Bacterial small subunit ribosomal RNA
Source: RNAcentral